This is a non-coding RNA of Camellia sinensis, 730 nucleotides long. Lineage: Eukaryota; Viridiplantae; Streptophyta; Magnoliopsida; Ericales; Theaceae. The record is from RefSeq and is a predicted model, not a curated record.
GUCCUCUCAUGUAGUGUGAAUGAAGUGGUGUUGCAGUGGAAAAGGAAGAUUUGAGAAUUUUAGAGUUCAAGAAGUUUCAUGAGAGUUUAAUCUACACAAUCGCAAAUUUGCAUUUUUAGGUUGCAUUUUACUCUCUUAUUGUAUAUUUUGCUACAUCAAUGGGCACGCACACUGUUGCUGCUCAUCAGGUCAUGAUGCAACUUUAUGGCAUGUGUACCGUGUUUGGUGGGCCUCUCUGACAAACUGCUCAGUCAUUUAUGCCUGAGUUGAUGUAUGGAGUUAAUCGAAGUCUGGCAGAGAUGCGUAAAGUGUUGAUUCCAUACUUCCUUGCUGGUAUGCUUGUUUUUGCACAAAAUGUAACACCCUGUAUUCAUAGCCUUGAGGAGAGGACAUUGCUGAAGCUGAAGAUUUGGAUUAACGAUUCAACCAAGUUACUCCAUGGUAGGGUGGCUGAUCUUUAGAUUCUGUUGGUGGCUUUCAUAAAUGUUGUCGGUGGCUUGUUGAAGACUUUGGCUCUCCCAUUACAUCUAUGAAUGGUUAGUGAGUGGGAGGGGUUUGGUGUGGCAAUCAGAAGAGAGUGUAAGCAGAGUGUAAGUAACUGAGUGAGUGUGAGUGUGAGUAGAGUGAGAGUAUUGUCUACUGCUCCUCCAUUGUUAAAAUUUUUGUAUUUUUCUCCAUAUAGUGAAAUCCGCUGCCCGUGGCCGUAGGUUAUUUUGCCGAAGCAUGUAAA